CCUACGGGUGGCUGCAGUCGAGAAUCUUCUGCAAUGGGGGCAACCCUGACAGAGCGACGCCGCGUGGAGGAUGAAGGCCCUCGGGUUGUAAACUCCUGUCACAUGUUAAGCUAAGGCAUGAGAGGAAGUCACGGCUAACUUCGUGCCAGCAGCCGCGGUAAGACGAAGGUGGCAAGCGUUAUUCGGAUUUACUGGGCAUAAAGCGCGCGUAGGCGGCUUGGCAAGUCGGGGGUGAAAGCCCGCAGCUCAACUGCGGAACUGCCUUCGAUACUGCCGGGCUUGAGGGCGGGAGGGGUGAUUGGAACUCCAGGUGUAGCGGUGAAAUGCGUAGAUAUCUGGAGGAACACCGGAGGCGAAGGCGAAUCACUGGACCGCUCUGACGCUGAGGCGCGAAAGCUAGGGGAGCAAACAGGAUUAGAUACCCUUGUAGUC
Molecule: ribosomal RNA, 432 nt
Filed under: uncultured bacterium
Lineage: Bacteria
Description: partial 16S ribosomal RNA
Rfam family: Bacterial small subunit ribosomal RNA
Source: RNAcentral